CACAAACUCCGUCGGGGAGAGGAUGGACAAUUACUGCUUACUGAGCAAUGUAACAACUAAACCACAAGGAGGUGCAACGGAAAUAACAAGAAAAGAGUCAAUCUAGGAACAAACUAGAGAGACACAAUGAAUCAAGACUCAACCCGACGAGGAUAUAACUCAGGGGAGUGAUUCCAUCCCAAUACAUAUUUCUGCCUAAGGGGCUGACUCUGUAUGGAGAGAUCAGACACAAAC
Molecule: long non-coding RNA, 234 nt
Filed under: Lathyrus oleraceus (garden pea)
Lineage: Eukaryota; Viridiplantae; Streptophyta; Magnoliopsida; Fabales; Fabaceae
Description: Pisum sativum (pea) long non-coding RNA (PSAT_LNC026082)
Source: RNAcentral